Herpailurus yagouaroundi (jaguarundi) is the source of this 6981-nucleotide RNA transcript. It is a transcript of the gene named RIC8 guanine nucleotide exchange factor B, with no coding region annotated. NCBI's taxonomy places the organism in Eukaryota, Metazoa, Chordata, Mammalia, Carnivora, Felidae. The transcript has 11 exons. The record is from RefSeq and is a predicted model, not a curated record.
AGUCCGUUUAGCUGCUGGCUUUUAGAGGGGCGGGGAAGAGCCGGGUCGCUCUCGUCAGCUGAGGAGAAUGAUUCAUAGAGGAGGGUCAGGAGAGAACAGUUCUGGCUGCGAAAGCCCACUUAAAAGGCUGGACUCUUCCGCGAGGGAGGGAGAGGCAGGAGAGUAAGCGAGGCCUCGGGCCUGACCUCGCCUCAGGCCGCUCGUCAGGCCUCCAUCGAGUCCUGGGCCUUGUCGGGGGCGGCCGCGAGGCGCCGGUUGCUGGGGGACCGGUGACGUCGCGGGGUGAAAGUUGAGGGGCGGUGACGUCGGCCCUGCCCGGGCGGAGGCUGGCGGGUUGGAGGCAGGAGGGAGGGAGGGAAGGAGGGAAGGAAGGAAGCUGGGAACGAGCGAGCGAGCGGGGGCGCGAGGCGUUUACCUGGAGGCAGCGGCUUGGGCGCGCUGAGCGGCCGCGGCUCCCCCGCACCUGCGGCCAUGGAUGAGGAGCGCGCCCUCUACAUCGUCCGGGCCGGCGAGGCGGGGGCUAUCGAGCGGGUCCUGAGGGAUUACAGCGAUAAGCAUAGGGCUACUUUCAAAUUUGAAUCAACAGAUGAAGAUAAAAGAAAGAAACUCUGUGAAGGUAUAUUUAAAGUCCUUGUAAAGGACAUCCCAACAACAUGUCAAGUGUCUUGCCUGGAAGUUCUCCGCAUUCUCUCCAGAGACAAAAAGGUUUUAGUUCCUGUAACAACCAAGGAAAAUAUGCAGAUACUGCUGCGACUAGCCAAGCUAAAUGAGUCGGAUGAUUCUUUGGAGAAGGUGUCCGAGUUCCCAGUUAUUGUGGAGUCAUUAAAAUGUCUGUGUAACAUAGUGUUCAACAGUCAGAUGGCACAGCAGCUCAGCCUGGAACUUAACCUUGCUGCAAAGCUCUGUAACCUCCUAAGAAAGUGCAAGGACCGAAAGUUUAUCAGUGACAUUAAAUGCUUUGACUUGCGCUUGCUCUUCCUCCUGUCACUUUUGCACACCGACAUCAGGUCACAAUUGCGCUAUGAGCUUCAGGGACUAGCGCUGCUAACCCAGAUCUUGGAAAGUGCCUUUAGCAUCAAGUGGACCGAUGAGUAUGAAUCGGCCAUAGACCGUAAUGGACCUCCUCUUUCACCUCAGGAGACAGACUGUGCCAUCGAGGCCCUCAAAGCUCUCUUCAAUGUGACAGUAGACAGUUGGAAGGCACAUAAAGAGAGUGAUUCUCAUCAGUUCCGUGUCAUGGCAGCUGUCCUUCGCCAUUGUUUACUAAUCGUAGGUCCAACUGAAGACAAAACAGAAGAGCUGCACAGCAAUGCAGUCAACCUUUUAAGCAAUGUUCCGGUCUCUUGUUUGGAUGUUCUCAUUUGUCCAUUAACCCAUGAAGAAACAGCCCACGAGGCAACGACUCUAGAUGAACUGCCCAAUGAUAAAACAGCUGAGAAAGAAACUGUUUUGAAAAACAAUACCAUGGUAUACAAUGGUAUGAAUAUGGAAGCCAUUCAUGUUUUACUCAAUUUUAUGGAGAAGAGAAUAGACAAGGGAAGCAGCUAUAGAGAAGGUCUAACUCCGGUUCUCAGCUUAUUAACAGAAUGUUCCCGAGCCCAUCGAAACAUCAGAAAAUUUCUCAAAGAUCAGGUUUUACCACCAUUGAGGGAUGUGACAAAUCGUCCUGAAGUUGGCUCAACUGUGAGAAAUAAGCUGGUGCGCCUCAUGACACAUGUUGACCUUGGAGUCAAGCAGAUUGCUGCUGAAUUCCUUUUUGUCCUUUGCAAAGAGAGAGUGGAUAGCCUGCUGAAAUACACUGGCUAUGGGAAUGCUGCAGGACUGUUGGCGGCCAGGGGCCUCUUGGCUGGAGGAAGAGGAGAUAAUUGGUACUCAGAGGACGAGGACACAGACACUGAAGAAUACAAAAAUGCAAAACCAAACAUUAAUCUUAUCACUGGUCAUUUAGAGGAACCAAUGCCAAACCCCAUAGAUGAAAUGACAGAAGAACAAAAAGAAUAUGAAGCCAUGAAACUUGUCAACAUGCUUGAUAAACUCUCCAGGGGAAUCCACAUUUCUAGAAGCUGCCAACAAAUAAAUAGCCUGAAGCUAUGUCAAGUCUGAAAUUGCCAAGCUUCUUCCACUUGAUUUAAACUAUGCCUCAAAGAAGAUGCAUACUCACCCAGAAUCACCCAGCAGAUACCCAACUCAAUCUGAAGGAGAGCAGAUGUGAAGGACCCGCACCAGGAUGGUGGUUAGCAACAGUGGCCCGUGCCAAAGCACUUACCAAAGUGAUGAUUAAGGUUGGUCAUGCCAAGUACUGUUACUGAGCCUGGUGUAGGGUGUAGAUGUCAUCUACUACCAAAACUGUAAAACCACCGAUUCAAAAAUUAAAGCCACAUUUCCAUUUUGCCUCCAUGCUGGACAUAGUGACUGCCACAAGGAGCUCACCACCUUGGCAGCUUUAUCACGGCUACAUUUCCAAGGACACUGGAGAGAUUUGUGUUCCAACAUUUUCUUCCCGUUGAAUACCAGCUGACUUAGUAAUAUUCUUAGUGAUUUUGUGUGUGUGUGUGUGUGUGAGGAUUGUAUUUGUGACAGAUGUAGGUAAGGGGAUUGCAGUAGACCUGGAGGUCUUAAGAGUUUGAAAAUAAUCUGAACCCUGUAAAUCCCAUCAUGUCUAGCUAGUACAGUGCCUUGUACCCUGUGGUUUCCCUAGUGUGUGAUGAGGAAAUAAUGAACACAGCUGAUCCCCAAAUCUGUUGGGCAGCUUUUGGCUCUAUAAAAUACCCUAUGUGGUUUAAGACUUUAAACUUUACCUUUGUCAGUUCCAUUUCUUGGCCAGAUAUAAUGACUAAUUUGAAUCUUGGGGUACAUAAUUUCUCUAAAAUAAUCAUUGUAAUAUGUAGCAAACAAACAAGCAUUAAGGCCUGAGGCAGGAGAUUAAAAAUGUCAAAUGAAGCUUUCUAUAAUGUGAGAGCAGAGCUGAAAAAGGGAAUGAAAUUUGCCUUCCUCUCCACCUGCUCUUUCCUUCUUUGAAUUGGAAAAAAAAAUAAGCCCCCACAACUUAAGUGGGGGAUUAGAAUGGGGACUGUGUGUGUAUACGCAAGUCCAGUGUGGCUAAUACAAUUGCGUCCACCUUAGCUACAGCACACAGCUCGUGUGUAAUAAUGACGCCUCCUCCAGAAGAAGGGAGAGGAUUGAUUGGCUUAAGCGUCAACGAACCAAAGGAAAUAAUAUUUCAAGUUUCAGUUUUGUUUUGAUUUUCUAAUCCCCUUUAGUUCCUUAAUUGGAAUCAGGCACUGAUUAGUCUUCUACCCCACCCUUAAACCGGUCACAUUUAACAACAUUUAACAGUGUACAUUGAUUGCUUUUUUGCUUAUAUAUUUUAUCCAAAUCUAAAAUUUACAUUUAAAUAAUUUUCCCGUUUCUUAUCUAUUCCAUAUCAUAUAUAUAUAUUUUUUUAUAGCCAUUGUGUAGUAUUUGGGACAUGGCUUUCUUAAUUAAUGCAGGUUCCAAAUAUGGGAUUCUGUUUAGACUUACUAAAGCUGGGACGAGCAAUCAAUGACUGAAAAGCAAUACAUAACUUUAUUCCUUAUGAAUAAGUUACUCUACUCAAAUAAAAAAAAAAACCUGUGAUCACAUCCACCUUUAUGAUAAGUUAGUCAAGGACAUGCUUUUCAGGUAUGGUUCAGAAACAUGUUGCAGUUUUUAAAGUGUUUUGAGAUCUACUGUAGGUUCAAAAGUGUAAAGAUUGUAAUUGUUUAUAUCGGAAAAUCUUUUAGAUCUGUGCUGUCCAAUACGGUAACCACCAGCCAUAUACUACUGAGAGCUUGAAGUGUGGUUAAUCUGAAUUGGGAUGUCCUAUAAGGGUUAAAUACUCAGACUUUGAAAAACUCAGUAUAAAAAGAGAAAUGUAAAAUAUCUCAAUUGUUUAAUAUGGAUUUUAUGUUGAAAUAUUUUUUAUAUACUGGGUUAACAAAAUAUAUUAAAGUCAAAGUCAGUUUUAGUUAUCUUUUUCAGUGUGGUUACUAGAAUAUUUUAAGAUUCCAUAUAUGGCUUAUGGUAUAUUUACAUAUGGCAACACUAUUCUGAUAUCAUUAAAAUACACUGUAAGGUUGCCUGGAAGUUCAAUUAAGGGAACUUGGAUCCAGUUAAGUUAAUAUGCCCUUAAAGUGGCAAGGGAGGAUUAAUUUGAGAAAGUUAGUAUUGUGUGUCUUUAGGUUAUAGAGGGCCUUCACUGGCUAGACACCUCUGAGUAGGAUGUCAUGCUCCCUUUGUAUUGCCUGUUGGUAGUCACUGUCCUUUAAGCUCUGUAGAAGGAAUGAGUACUUUGAGCUCUUAGUUUAAGCACUAGCUGAAAUGGCUUCUAAUAGAGAAACCUCAAAUAAGAAUAAUGUCCCCUGGCUGUUUGUGCUGUUAGCUACCCUCCUUCAACUUUUAAGUCUUUCUGAUUAGGGACAGCAUGUAAGAAUUUCAAUUUCUGCUGCUAUAUUCAACAGUGUCAGUGGGCACGCUGACCUCUUAUUUAUUUUACUAAUUUGGACAACAGGAUAGAAAACUCCUGUGGAGAAAUUACCAAGAAAUAAGAAUGCCUUCACUUAAGGAUAAAACUGAAUUUGAUUCUUUAGCACUGUCCCUAACCUCUUUCUCCAUAUUUUUUUAACCAUGCUGUUUAAUGUGAGGUAGGUAACAAAUUUUUAGAAGCUUUGCAUGUGAUUUUCUAACAGAAAUGAGAAUAGUAAAAGACUAAUAUUUAGAUAGUGCUUUAAAGUUUAAAGAGUGUUUCCAUUUAUAUUAUCUCCACUGAUCAUUAAAGCAACCCUGUGAAUUAUUAGAGCAAGUAGUGUUUGACUGAAGAACAAACAGAACCAAUGAUUAGGAGACUGACCCAAGAUCAGGCAUCUGGUUGAUGACAUAGCCAGGACUCGAUUCUCAGUCUUAACACUCCAGAUCUUAUGUCAUUUUGCAAAAUGACCAACAGCUCUCAAAAAUGUGUCCAUCUGAUUUUAAAUAAGAUGUCCUAAAUUUUAAAAAAAUGCAAAGUGCAAAGAUUGUAAGCAUAUUUACCUGAGAAUUAAGAUUUGGAAGACCCACAUUCCUGCUCUUUCAUUCUGUAGUUGAGAUCUUCUCGAAGAUCAAGUGAGGUGCUAAAGUAAAUAGUUUAUAUCAAACACACACACAUACACACAUACACACACACACACACACACCUUUAUAAGAAGGAAACCAGUGAAACUGCUAUGACUCUUUGUUAAUAGAAGUUUUUUAUUUUAAAAAGAGAAUGAUUAUAGGUAUUCUAACUUUUGAAAGGCUUCCCAAUGGGACUGUUUAGGCAACUCCCAAUUACCUUUACAAACAGAAAGAAAUCCAAAAUAGAUGAUAUGCUGUGUCCAUUUGUCAUGGAAAUGAUAUUUUUUAUGCUACAUAUUCACCUUCCUAAUUGUACCCAGUCCCAAAGCACAAUGGUGAGGUCUCAGGGAAGAUCCCAGAAUUGUUUUAAAAGAUACAGCCUGAAGACUUUGAAUUUGCUGUGGAAAAGCCACCAUACCCCUCCAAAAAUCCUGGGGUAGCGGCUUAGUGAAAAAUCAGUGUACCCAGUCAGGACUAGGAAGUCAUUAGAUGAAAGACCAUGAAAGAUGAAGGAUCAGGGUCCAAGCCCAAAGGACACUUUUUCCCAGUAUGUAACUGAACAUGUUAAGCAAUGGCCAAGGUUAUAAUAUUAUUCCUAUGAGAAAAAGGUGUUAUAAACACUUGUAAGCCUAUCAACAAGUUACUAGGCAGUCCAUUGAACUUUGGUGGAGUAUGGACCAUUGCAGUGAUGCUGAAAUCUUGAAAUAAGAUGCACUCUCAGACUUGGGAUUAGAGCACAGAUCACAGAGCUGCUUUCUCCCAGCUAGCACAGGCUCCACACUAGCAGGCAUCUCUUGAAAAGCUCUGUGUUCAUUAAAAAUGUUUUAUGUAUUUACCAGUUUCUCACCCUUUCAAAUGUGAAAAGGAAUUAAAUAUGAAAUGGCUAAUUUAAAAAGUCAGGGUUCUUUUUUUCCAAGCAAACCUUACAUUAAGAGCAGGAAUCCCUGUGCCAAAGAAAUGGUUCCCAAUUAUCCCAUCUUGGGUUUUGUUAUACAUUGUACAGAAGUCAACAAAACGAGUAUGUAACAGAACCUGCCUAAAUAGCAGCCACCCUCAUUAGAAACAGGGAAUUAAUCAGAGGGCGAUUGAAGGAAGCAGUGCCUCACAGGUUUCCCCCUUUUCUUCUUUUCUAAUCAUAGAACAAAAUAUAUGACAUAAAAGGAUCGGAACUAUUAUGCAGUACUCAAUUAGAGGGAGGUGAAUAGGUCUCUAACAUGCUGUUUUAUCAAAAGAGCAGACUGGUGUUUGCAUGACUGUUGUUUCAUUACAGACCCUGUCAUUAAUUCCAUGUGUCAAUACUGCCCUGUAGUACACAGAGCAGACAAGAAAGAAGAGCCCUUGAAAACAAGGGAAUGAUUUUUGAGUCGUUAUCAAGCUAAGUGGCAAGCGGGAAGCUGAAACUCGUAUAGGUAAAUUCGAAGGGACUCUUGGGAGAUCUGCAAGUGGGAAACAAGAAUGCAUUUUACCAACUGCUUAAUUAUGUCCUGUUUUUCAACAAGUACACUUGAAUUGAAUGCUUUGUUUGUAUUGCACAAAAACAUGUGCUGUGGGCAAGAGUAUUCUCUUGCUUCCAGGUCAAGUAAGGUGUUUUAUACACAUAUACAUCUGGCCUAUUCUAUAAUGUGCGAUUGGGUAUGUUAGUGUCUGAGCCCCAAUUUUGCACUGUCAUUUCUGGGGGAAAGUCUUACAUAGGAACCAGAAGCCCUAAAAAGUAGAACCUUGUCUAAGGUUCUGAGAAGUUACAGAAACCCAGGCAUCCCAGAGGACCAUCCUUACAGGGAAAUGGUGGCUCAGGAAAAUGUUAAAAUAUAUCUGGGGGAAAAAAAAAAAACAGACCAGAAAUUUUUAAAUAUGGUAUAAAUCCCAUAA